UGCAAUUUUGACAAUUUGAAUUUAGUUUAAAUUUAGAGCAAACUUCUAAAUCUAAAUUUAGCAUUAUUUUGGUUGAUUAGAGACGCACGUUAAAAUGUUAAGAUGGCUGGAUUAUUGAAUACAAAAUAAAAAAUAUUGUUUGUUUUACGAUGGAUGGGCCAUUAGCAAAUCUUAUAUUUAAUUUUUUUUCUCGUGCUCGGAGACACGGUCGGCCACAGCAGAAUCA
RNAcentral lists this long non-coding RNA (226 nucleotides) under Mytilus galloprovincialis (Mediterranean mussel). The record is from RNAcentral. Lineage: Eukaryota; Metazoa; Mollusca; Bivalvia; Mytilida; Mytilidae.